GUGUCAGCAGCCGCGCGGUAAUACCCGCAGCUCAAGUGGUGGCCACUAUUAUUGAGCCUAAAACGUCCGUAGCCGGUUUUGUAAAUCUCUGGGUAAAUCCUGCCGCUCAACGGUAGGAAUUCUGGAGAGACUGCAAAACUAGGGAUCGGGUGAGGCGAGAGGUACUCCUGGGGUAGGGGUAAAAUCCUGUAAUCCUGGGGGGACGACCGGUGGCGAAAGCGUCUCGCUAGAACGACUCCGACGGUGAGGGACGAAGGCUAGGGGAGCAAACCGGAUUAGAUACCCGGGUAGUCCUAGCUGUAAACGCUGCCCACUUGGUGUUGCCCUUUCCUCGGGAAGGGGCAGUGCCGGAGCGAAGGUGUUAAGUGGGCUGCUUGGGGAGUAUGGUCGCAAGGCUGAAACUUAAAGGAAUUGGCGGGAGAGCACCGCAACGGGAGGAGCGUGCGGUUUAAUUGGAUUCAACGCCGGAAAACUCACCAGGGGAGACCAUGGGGAUGAGUGUCAGCCUGAAGAGCUUACACGAUCACAAUGGAGAGGUGGUGCAUGGCCGUCGUCAGCUCGUACCGUAGAGCGUUCACUUAAGUGUGAUAACGAGCGAGACCCUUGCCCAUAUUUGCUAUCUUCUUCGCGAGAGGAAGAGCACUAUAUGGGGACCGC
Molecule: ribosomal RNA, 657 nt
Filed under: uncultured Thermoplasmatales archaeon
Lineage: Archaea; Methanobacteriati; Thermoplasmatota; Thermoplasmata; Thermoplasmatales
Description: bacterial SSU rRNA
Rfam family: Archaeal small subunit ribosomal RNA
Source: RNAcentral